Caretta caretta (loggerhead turtle) is the source of this 1600-nucleotide long non-coding RNA. RefSeq lists it as uncharacterized. NCBI's taxonomy places the organism in Eukaryota, Metazoa, Chordata, Testudines, Cheloniidae. The record is from RefSeq and is a predicted model, not a curated record.
GAGACAGAGACCUGGGCACAGCGGCCCCUCGCGGGGUCCUGGGCAGCAAGCGGUAGCGCGGCCCGGUUUCGAGGAGCGGCGCUGCGUUUCGUGCCGGGGUCGCUGGGACCUGCGGGGCCAGAUCCAACCUGGCUAGAGUAUCUGGAAGUCUGAAAGAAGCAAAACAAGACAGAAAAUGACAUCAGAUUGAUUUGGCCGCUUAUAACUGGGAAUGUCCAUUUGAUGGAGCUGGUGUUACACUGAACACAUACUGGCCUUCCAUAAUUGCUACUGGAGACCUGAGGAUCUUCCUACUUUACAUCAUCUCCACUUGAGGUGCUGAGUUGAAGCCAAGCACACUACCUUUAGGGCAUUCCCAGCACCUACUAAACCCAGCGUCAGGAGAUGAAAUAAGCCUAUUUCUAAAACAGCCUUGUAAAACAGGCAUAAACGUAAGCCAGUUUAUGCAGAAAGUCUUGCCUGACUUUUGCAAUAGUGAUUGAUCAAACGAACAGCAUUUUAUUUGUCCAUUGAAAGCUCUCCUUGGGUUUCUCCCAUGUUGAUAAUGCCAGCACCCAAUCUUCGCUUCCCCUUGAAGCUGGAAUCAAGAGUCUGUACUCCUGCAACUGUACAACUACACACAAUUAGAGUAAAUGAACUGUUUCAGUAAGUUAGCAGUAACCACACAGAAGGUGGCCUUGACAUAGGCAUAUGCUACAGAGGCAUCUACAGCUGGGCACUCAGCAAUUACAAAAGUUUCCAGAGGAGCUGACCUCCAUGUGAAAACACCAUGGUCCUGAUUCUAUGCUGCCCUGCACCUUGGGUAGACAUUUAAAGCUGAGAAAAGUGUGUGUAAACCUCUAAAAGCCUGCUAUGGGCUAUCUGAGUUAAGCUUUAUGCAAGAAUAGGGGAAGUAGGGGGGAGGAGAGAAAGUGGCUUUACAUCACCUAUGUACCCCUAUAUUAUGGGGCUGUCCAGGAACCUGCUUGAACCUCUUGACCUGCAAUACAUUAAAGUAGCCACAGGGCUGCUCUAAUUUGUUUGUUUUCCCACAGACUCUUUAGUCUAGCAGAGAAAGGUGUAACACAAUCCUUUUUAAGUCCUUUAAAAUUGACGUGCUGAAUCAGAUUUCUUUGACAUUUGGUGUGCCUUAGAAAGGUGCAGGGUAAGGUUAGUGACCUAAUUUUUUGGAUCAAAUGAGUUAGGGGUUGUGGAGAUAUAAACUCUGAAAAAAUUGUCAUCUUUCAAAAAGUUUCCAGGUAAUUUUUGUUUGUUUGUUUGCACAGAACUAGAGAUAAAACUAUUGAUGUGAUGUGGGUCAAAAUGGUUUCAAUUUGUCAAGCAUUACUCAAGGGAGUGCAUAUAGUCCAUUAAAUCUUUGGGAGUCCCAAACUGAGAAGGUUUUUUAAGAACAUUUUCAUGUCUUUCCUUGUGUAGAUGUGCAGUCUGGAUUACAAUGCAUGUGCAACAAUAAAGAAAAAAAAACCAUGAGAGGAUUUCCAGGCAGCCUCUUUAUGCUUACACGGGUAGUUUGAGAGACUGUUCAAAUGCCAUUGCCUUUGGCAACACCCCACUACUGAUGUUUCUUUGUACACCAGUGCAAUAAAGAUAUAAUAACUCA